Molecule: long non-coding RNA, 1441 nt
Organism: Leptopilina heterotoma
Lineage: Eukaryota; Metazoa; Arthropoda; Insecta; Hymenoptera; Figitidae
Exons: 5
Source: RefSeq, a predicted model, not a curated record
CUUUAAUUGUUGUAAGAUUUGCCUUUUGUUGCACUUGCCUCACAUCCAAACAAUUGUUAAAAAAAUUCGUUUUUACGGUUUUUACACAUUAUAGACGCGUACAAUAGUUUAAAUUUACAAAUCUACAGGAAAAAACGAAUCAAGAUUGAUAUAAAAAUAUAUCGGAACAAAAUAUUUGCGGUCCUUAUCUUCAAAACAAAAAUCGAACACCAUCUAACCUAACUUUUCUCUUCAACAAUAUUUAUUUAUUUUCUCAUCCGUUGAAAUAACGCAGUAUCAAUAGUGGUCAUGGAUAUUCUGAAAAAUUGUACCAUUUAUCAAAAAUCGAAAAUUAUGAUAAGAAUAAAUCGAAAAUGCAGAUGUUAUUGGAAAAUGAAAGAAAUUAAGUGAACACUUUCAUUUCUUCGCGUAUAGAGGAGAGAAAAAAAAAUGAAUUUUCCCUGGAACUCUGUGGAGAUUUUUAAAAAAAUUUCAAUAUCAGGGGAAAAAAGAGGUCAGGAUUUAUAAAUCAUUAAAGGAAUUUAAUUAAACGAGAAUAUAAUAAUAAUAAUAAUAAUUAGAUGAUGCUGAUUUUGAUCUCGGGCCGACGAAUACUGAGAAAGGGAAUUGGAGAAAGGAAACGGAAGAAACGAUGGCGUGACGAUGUCGCGACGUCAAAGGUUCUUCCCAAUCUUUCUCACCCUUUUUCACAUGCAAGCAGGAGAGUAUUCAAACUGACAGCUACUCUCAUGACAGCUAGUCUACUUUGUAGUUCAAGCCACCAUAGUGACAGAUUUCAUUUUCAGGCGAACAGAUUGACAAGAAAGUAGGGCAAUUGAGAAAUUUCUUCUUCUAUAAAUGUAGUAGAGUUAUUCGAUCGCAAAAAAAGAGGACCUGGGGGAGGAGCAAACUUAAAAAAAAGGAAUCAUGUGAACCGGAUUUUUAGCAGACAGCAGCUGUCAUCAAUCCUUUUCGAAUAAAAUGUUGUCUAAUUCGAUCAACAAUCAUAAAAAAAUCUGACCCCAUCGUCUCUAUGCACAUAAUCGAGGAGACAUCUCCUCCCACUUGUAUGUGACCUUUCGAACUCUCGAAGAAAAUGGACGAAGUGUAGAGAAUUUUAGAAAAAUGCCGCCGACGCCACCGCGACUACAGCUUUGUCAUCAAUCAUUGCUCGUCCAGCUGUAAUAUAAAUGUAUCAUUAGGAAACGGAAAAAAAAAUGAAGGAAGCUGAACUUUGAAAAUAGGCGUGGAAAUCAUUAAUAAAAUGCAAAAGGCGAGACGCCGAUUUUCCGUCAGUCAACCAUUAAUCUCCACCAACUCUUGACAGACGUGGUUUCAAUUUUCCUGAAAUUUAUUCUUAUGCGCUGGGAAAAUUAAUCUUACUCGUUAAUUAAAGUCCAUUACAUUACAAUUUUUACUAUUUUUACACUUCUUACAUUGAUAGUCAACAAUAUUUGAAACA